UCUCUCUCUCUCUCUCUCUCUCUCUCUCUCUCUCUCUCUCUCUCUCUCUCUCUCUCUCUCUCUCUCUCUCUCUCUCUCUCUCUCUCUAACCCAUGACCAAACAAUGAAUCUCUCUCUCUCUAUACAUGUUUUCUGUUCAAUCAGGGGAAAAGAGAAACAACACCGGCACCGCACCAAAUUAUGCAGAAUCUAUCCAGAGAACAAUCGGAAGAGGAAGAAAAGAAAUCGAAUCCGAAUACGAAUCCAAUCCUCGACUCAAUUCUUAUUGAAGGAUGAAGGAGAGGGAGGGGUAAGGCAAGAAGGUGAAGGAUAAGGAGAGGUUGAAGAAGAAGAAACUUUCUCAUCUCUUUUUUCUGAUUUCUUGAACGCUGGAUCAAAGGAGCGAAGAUGGUGGUUGCUCCUCUUCUUUGUGAACGCCAUUGUUCGAUUGAGAAGAGAAAUCAAAUGGAUUUUUAGUUGCUCCUCCUCUUCUCCGUGACUAAGUUUAUGAGUUUUCAAAUUGGUGGUUGGAAAAAGAGUAGGAGAAGGGAAAAAUAUUUCAACUCAUGAGCCUUCCUAUAGUGUCUGCACACCAACCUAUAUAGUAGAAGUGUCUCAUACAAGGAUUCACCACUUUCCUCACAACAUCUAAUUAUUUUUGAAAUGUUACAUUUUUGAUUUUUUUUUUCACAGUAUUUAUGAUAUGUUUAGUGUUUCAAGGUUUUAUUUCCGACGGUAUCGAUGUACUAUAUCUAUUAUUGACCCGUGCGUGAGCACGGGAAAGCGGACUAGUCAUCACUAAAAACAGUAUAUUAACAAUAGAAAAAUAUAUACAUUAUCUACAUUAGUCAAAUUCAAAGAGACUUUUAAAAAAAUGGAAUAGGUUUGAAACUCACAUACCAUAGACCUAUGUCGACAGAAAAUUGUAUAGAGAAUGGUUAGGUCACUGCAUUUUUUUUGAGUUUAUAGAUAUUUAAGUAUAAGAAAUACCGAAGAUUAAUACGGUAGCAUCAAUGUACAUCGAUGGUAUGCACUCUGACAUCACAUUAAAAAUGGGAGUACUCAAAUAUAAGUGUAACCUUUCCUGCUUGAUU
This is a long non-coding RNA of Medicago truncatula (barrel medic), 1073 nucleotides long. RefSeq lists it as uncharacterized. The transcript has 4 exons. The record is from RefSeq and is a predicted model, not a curated record. NCBI's taxonomy places the organism in Eukaryota, Viridiplantae, Streptophyta, Magnoliopsida, Fabales, Fabaceae.